Molecule: ribosomal RNA, 253 nt
Filed under: uncultured bacterium
Lineage: Bacteria
Description: partial 16S ribosomal RNA
Rfam family: Bacterial small subunit ribosomal RNA
Source: RNAcentral
UACGUAGGGCGCAAGCGUUGUCCGGAAUUAUUGGGCGUAAAGAGCUCGUAGGCGGCUUGUCACGUCGGGUGUGAAAGCCCGGGGCUUAACCCCGGGUCUGCAUUCGAUACGGGCAGGCUAGAGUGUGGUAGGGGAGAUCGGAAUUCCUGGUGUAGCGGUGAAAUGCGCAGAUAUCAGGAGGAACACCGGUGGCGAAGGCGGAUCUCUGGGCCAUUACUGACGCUGAGGAGCGAAAGCCAGGGGAGCGAACGGG